UUUAUGGAGAGUUUGAUCCUGGCUCAGGAUGAACGCUGGCGGCGUGCCUAAUACAUGCAAGUCGAGCGAACAGACGAGGAGCUUGCUCCUCUGACGUUAGCGGCGGACGGGUGAGUAACACGUGGGUAACCUACCUAUAAGACUGGGAUAACUUCGGGAAACCGGAGCUAAUACCGGAUAAUAUUUUGAACCGCAUGGUUCAAAAGUGAAAGAUGGCUCUG
This is a ribosomal RNA of 221 nucleotides. It matches the Rfam family "Bacterial small subunit ribosomal RNA", at positions 1 to 217 of the family's 1533-position model.